This 481-nucleotide ribosomal RNA is filed under the name uncultured bacterium. RNAcentral's name for it is "partial 16S ribosomal RNA". It matches the Rfam family "Bacterial small subunit ribosomal RNA", at positions 28 to 507 of the family's 1533-position model. The record is from RNAcentral.
GAUGAACGCUGGCGGCGUGCUUAACACAUGCAAGUCGAACGAAGCAUUUGCGACAGAUUUUUUCGGAAUGAAGUUGCUUAUGACUGAGUGGCGGACGGGUGAGUAACGCGUGGGUAACCUGCCUUGUACUGGGGGAUAGCAGCUGGAAACGGCUGUUAAUACCGCAUAAGCGCACAAUGUUGCAUGACAUGGUGUGAAAAACUCCGGUGGUAUAAGAUGGACCCGCGUCUGAUUAGCUAGUUGGUGAGAUAACAGCCCACCAAGGCGACGAUCAGUAGCCGACCUGAGAGGGUGACCGGCCACAUUGGGACUGAGACACGGCCCAGAAUCCUACGGGAGGCAGCAGUGGGGAAUAGUGCACAAUGGAGGAAACGAUGAUGCAGCGACGCCGCGUGAGUGAAGAAGUAAUUCGUUAUGUAAAGCUCUAGCAGCAGGGAAGAUAGUGACGGUACCUGACGAGGAAGCUCCGGCUAAAUACGUG